CAGCCGCCGCGGGAAUACAGAGGGUGCGAGCGUUAAUCGGAUUUACUGGGCGUAAAGCGUGCGUAGGCGGCUUCUUAAGUCGGAUGUGAAAUCCCCGGGCUUAACCUGGGAACUGCAUUUGAAACUGGCAGGCUAGAGUCUUGUAGAGGGGGGUAGAAUUCCAGGUGUAGCGGUGAAAUGCGUAGAGAUCUGGAGGAAUACCGGUGGCGAAGGCGGCCCCCUGGACAAAGACUGACGCUCAGGUGCGAAAGCGUGGGGAGCAAACAGGAUUAGAUACCCCUGUAGUCCCUGUCUCUUAUAC
RNAcentral lists this ribosomal RNA (301 nucleotides) under uncultured bacterium. RNAcentral describes it as "partial 16S ribosomal RNA". It matches the Rfam family "Bacterial small subunit ribosomal RNA", at positions 509 to 807 of the family's 1533-position model. The record is from RNAcentral.